UAAUACGGAGGGUGCAAGCGUUAUCCGGAUUUAUUGGGUUUAAAGGGAGCGUAGGCGGGAUUGUAAGUCAGUGGUGAAAGCCCGUAGCUCAACUACGGAACUGCCAUUGAUACUGCAGACCUAGAGUACACUUGAAGUGGGCGGAAUGUGUCAUGUAGCGGUGAAAUGCUUAGAUAUGACACAGAACACCAAUUGCGAAGGCAGCUCACUAAAUUGUAACUGACGCUGAGGCUCGAUAGCGUGGGGAUCAAACAGGAUUAGAUACCCUGGUAGUCCACGCCGUAAACGAUGAUUACUCGAUGUUGGCGAUAUACUGUCAGCGUCUGAGCGAAAGCAUUAAGUAAUCCACCUGGGGAGUACGGUCGCAAGACUG
RNAcentral lists this ribosomal RNA (373 nucleotides) under uncultured bacterium. RNAcentral describes it as "bacterial SSU rRNA". It matches the Rfam family "Bacterial small subunit ribosomal RNA", at positions 521 to 896 of the family's 1533-position model. The record is from RNAcentral.